UACGAAGGGUGCAAGCGUUGUUCGGAUUUAUUGGGCGUAAAGGGUGCGUAGGCGGACAAUUAAGUCAGAUGUGAAAUCUCGGGGCUUAACCCCGAAACUGCGUCUGAAACUGGUUGUCUAGAAUAUCGGAGAGGGAAGCGGAAUUUCGCAUGUAGGAGUAAAAUCCGUAGAGAUGCGAAGGAACACCAGAAGCGAAGGCGGCUUCCUGGACGAUAAUUGACGCUGAGGCACGAAAGCGUGGGGAGCAAACAGG
Molecule: ribosomal RNA, 253 nt
Filed under: uncultured bacterium
Lineage: Bacteria
Description: partial 16S ribosomal RNA
Rfam family: Bacterial small subunit ribosomal RNA
Source: RNAcentral